UAAAAUCAUUGCAAUGGAGUUCUGCUCUCUUUUGGUUGUGACCAAAAGAAAAACUGUCCCCAGGACUAAUGACUCCUACCCAUAU
This 85-nucleotide non-coding RNA is filed under the name Sulfobacillus thermosulfidooxidans. RNAcentral describes it as "Fluoride sequence". It matches the Rfam family "Fluoride riboswitch aptamer (crcB RNA motif)". Lineage: Bacteria; Bacillati; Bacillota; Clostridia; Eubacteriales; Clostridiales Family XVII. Incertae Sedis. The record is from RNAcentral.